This 497-nucleotide ribosomal RNA is filed under the name uncultured bacterium. Its description in RNAcentral is "partial 16S ribosomal RNA". It matches the Rfam family "Bacterial small subunit ribosomal RNA", at positions 28 to 507 of the family's 1533-position model. The record is from RNAcentral.
GAUGAACGCUGGCGGCGUGCCUAAUACAUGCAAGUCGAGCGAACAGAUGAGGAGUUUGCCUCUCUGCAGUUAGCGGCGGGCGGGUGAGUAACACGUGGAUAACUGGCCUAUAAGACUGAGAUAACUUCGGGAAACCUGAUAUAAUACACGAUAAGAUAUUGAACGGCAGGGUUCAAUAGAGAAAGACGUAUUUGAUGUCCCUUAUUGAUGGAUCCUCGCCGCAUUAGCUAGUUGGUAAGGUAACGGCUUACCAAGGCUACGAUGCGUAGCCGAUCUGAGAGGGUGAUCAGCCACACUGGAACUGAGACACGGUCCAGACUCCUACGGGAGGCAGCAGUGGGGAAUAUUCGACAAUGGGCGAAAGCCUGACCGAGCAACGCCGCGUGUGUGAAGAAGGUCUUCGGAUUGUAAAGCUCUUUUAUUUGGGAAGAACAACUGUAUGAGAAAAUAUUGCUGUCUUGACGUUACCUACAGAGAAAGCACCGGCUAACUUCGUG